RNAcentral lists this ribosomal RNA (710 nucleotides) under Malbranchea sp. M7-2-9. Its description in RNAcentral is "SSU rRNA". It matches the Rfam family "Eukaryotic small subunit ribosomal RNA", at positions 229 to 945 of the family's 1831-position model. The record is from RNAcentral. Lineage: Eukaryota; Fungi; Ascomycota; Eurotiomycetes; Onygenales; Malbrancheaceae.
CCCUUCGGGGCUUGUUGGUGAUUCAUAAUAACUUCUCGAAUCGCAUGGCCUUGCGCCGGCGAUGGUUCAUUCAAAUUUCUGCCCUAUCAACUUUCGAUGGUAGGAUAGUGGCCUACCAUGGUGGCAACGGGUAACGGGGAAUUAGGGUUCGAUUCCGGAGAGGGAGCCUGAGAAACGGCUACCACAUCCAAGGAAGGCAGCAGGCGCGCAAAUUACCCAAUCCCGAUACGGGGAGGUAGUGACAAUAAAUACUGAUGCAGGGCUCUUUCGGGUCUUGCAAUCGGAAUGAGUACAAUCUAAAUCCCUUAACGAGGAACAAUUGGAGGGCAAGUCUGGUGCCAGCAGCCGCGGUAAUUCCAGCUCCAAUAGCGUAUAUUAAAGUUGUUGCAGUUAAAAAGCUCGUAGUUGAACCUUGGGCCUGGCUGGCCGGUCCGCCUCACGGCGUGCACUGGUCCGGCUGGGUCUUUCCUUCUGGGGAGCCCCAUGGCCUUCACUGGCUGUGGGGGGAACCAGGACUUUUACUGUGAAAAAAUUAGAGUGUUCAAAGCAGGCCUUUGCUCGGAUACAUUAGCAUGGAAUAAUAGAAUAGGACGUGCGGUUCUAUUUUGUUGGUUUCUAGGACCGCCGUAAUGAUUAAUAGGGAUAGUCGGGGGCGUCAGUAUUCGGCUGUCAGAGGUGAAAUUCUUGGAUUUGCCGAAGACUAACUACUG